Molecule: long non-coding RNA, 1654 nt
Filed under: Xyrichtys novacula (pearly razorfish)
Lineage: Eukaryota; Metazoa; Chordata; Actinopteri; Labriformes; Labridae
Source: RNAcentral
AGGAGAUGAAGCAGUGAAGAUCUGCACCCUCACUUGCAUAAAUGUUUUUGCAUCCUCACUUUAAGACUCCACAUUUCUUCCUUUUCCAGAAGGAUUCUCUUUUAUCUUUAAACUAACCGACUAUCAUCCAGGUGAGAUGUCGACCUGACGGCUGAGAGGAUAAAUCAUUGAUAAUAACAGGUCAGAGCUCCUUUACAUCUUAUCUCAGACUGUAUAAUCAACAUUUGGAGGAGGUGACACACACAAUGAUACACAUAGAUGUUGGUCACACACACUCACAGUCAUGUCUUAACACCUGUUGUCUUUUUCUGCUUGUUGUUAGCUCAUGAGGAAGCUAAAAACACAUUCAGCUGCUGAGGUCUGGAUCUGUAUGCAGAGUCUCAGUCUGACAUUUGGCUAAGAGAUAUGCUUGUGCAGCACGACAUUAUGACAACCCUGACAUUUAAGAUCUUAAUGCUGCACACGCUGUUUUGCAUCAUAAUAUGUGUCCCUAAAAUCAUGAAUCUUACUAUCUCCACUGUCUUUCUAAAUACCAACAUUUGACCUCAGCUUUCAGCACAAAUAAUGAGAAUUUAAGGGCUCAUCUGACAAGGAAAUGUCUGAUAAACAGCUGUGUCCUUGUUUCUUUACACCUGCUUUUGAAAGAAAGAUGCUGUGUAUCAACUUACCUGCAAAUACUGAGCAUCCUUUAUUUAUAUUCAAGACCAACCAGCAACCUGUGAGGUGAAUUGAAGCUGCACUGAGGUGCAGAUUAUACGCAGUUCCUUUCCUGUCCACUAGAGGCUGUGUUCUGCAGUGAGCAAGACCCUUUAAAAACCAUAUUAAUAAAAUGUCCAUCUUCACAGGCGAGAUAAACAUGAAUGAUUGUCCCUGACGCUCAUACGGCCCUGACACUCCAGCUGCACAGCUGCCCUGUGUGUUUCCAUCAUGUCCUUUAAAAGGACUGAUGGCACAAGAUCAGUCUGCAGUUUAAACUAACUUGAAUGAAAUGAUGAUAUUUGAGUGAGCAUGCUUUUUGGUAUUACUGUAAAGUUGUUUCAAAGUCUAAUUCAGCUGUUAUGCUGCAAACACACCUUUACCUUCUUAAAUUCACAUCUCAUUAUUUGCAGAUCACAGAUGCCCUGAAAUGAUCUGCACCAUGUUUGCUGUAAUGCAAAGGCCUAAAACUCAGUUCCUAUUUGAAAGCAGAAAGCUGUUCAAAUUCUCAAGGACUUACUGUGUCAGAAAAAUGUGCAGAAACCCUCUCCCUUUUUGAAGAAACUCUGAAAACUUCCCCUUGGCCUCCCUCUAUCCUGAGCACCUGAAAGCUUUCGAUCAUCUGGGUGAGAUAAUCGUUGAUCAUAUCAGGCCGCCACCACCAGCCUCCACCAGCUGAUUUAUUCCCCAUCCAUUAGGAUGGGUUUGGGAGGAGAUGAGGUCUGGGUUCAGAGAGGCAGCAGGUUAGAGGAGACCCAAUGGAGCGAUUAUCUCUCUGAAAGGAGCGAUCGGGUGGUAAUGAGCGAUCAGACAGGCCCAGGAUGGGGAGCCGAGGGGACGCCGCAGAGUUUUAUUACAGACUUCAUCUUAUGUUGCUUUCAGCUGCUUCUCCAUCCUGGUCCAAUCCCUCUUAUCUGCCUCAGUCCAAUAAGACUGCAUUCAGGUAGAGGCAGCUCAG